UACGUAGGGGGCGAGCGUUGUCCGGAAUUAUUGGGCGUAAAGAGCGUGUAGGCGGUUCGGUAAGUCUGCCGUGAAAACCUGGGGCUCAACCCCGGGCGUGCGGUGGAUACUGCCGGGCUAGAGGGUGGUAGAGGCGAGUGGAAUUCCCGGUGUAGCGGCGAAAUGCGCAGAUAUCGGGAGGAACACCAGUAGCGAAGGCGGCUCGCUGGGCCAUUCCUGACGCUGAGACGCGAAAGCUAGGGGAGCGAACAGG
This 253-nucleotide ribosomal RNA is filed under the name uncultured bacterium. Its description in RNAcentral is "partial 16S ribosomal RNA". It matches the Rfam family "Bacterial small subunit ribosomal RNA", at positions 524 to 776 of the family's 1533-position model. The record is from RNAcentral.